Trachymyrmex septentrionalis is the source of this 810-nucleotide long non-coding RNA. RefSeq lists it as uncharacterized. The transcript has 3 exons. NCBI's taxonomy places the organism in Eukaryota, Metazoa, Arthropoda, Insecta, Hymenoptera, Formicidae. The record is from RefSeq and is a predicted model, not a curated record.
UACUGUAGAAAAUGCAAUUUACAAGAGAACAAUAAAGCAUAACAUGAAUAAAUACAAGAGUCUCGGAGAAAUGUUAUGGAAAAAUUAAAAGUCACGGGAACAAAAUUGCAUAUUUGGACGCAUGUACCGAAGAAACAAUCACAUAUGCGCGGAACUGCAAGUUAAAGCAAUAAAGUUGUGAGAUGCCUUAUGGUUUCAAAAACAAGGAAUUAAAUUCGGUGACAUUAUUAAUAUGUGCACAGGCAACCAUCUCAACUCCAUCGUGUCUUGUUUUUCGGCAGCUUAUAUCAACGCAAUCUUCAAUCGGUGAAAUGAAAACAUGGACUGGCAAACUGCGCUGCACGUUUUACGACUAACCACGCCAAAAGUGAUCUUCUGCAGUGAGAAAUCAGUGAAUGUUAUUUUGAGCGUGAAAGGAGCAGAAGUGCAAUCCCAUGAUAGUGAUUUUUGGCAAGCAUGUUGAUGCGAUUACGUUCUUCGAUAUUCUGAGAAAUUGCAAUGAUGUAGAAGUAGCAAAUUUCUGUUACGUUGAGCUCGACGAUAUAAAAAAGAAUGCAUUUGGCAUUCAUCGGGCACUACGAGAAUGCCGAAAAGUCGAAUUGUCCAAUUAUACAAUAUUAGUCAUUAUCCAAAAAAAUACUUUGGAUGUGGCUAAUACGCCAUUACUUUAGUUUUCUUCUCUUUAUUGGUUGAGUAGGACAGCGCUGAACUUGAUUAUAAUCGCGCAAGACAACUAACUAAGCGAUCCUCUAUCCAGAAUUUAAUGAGGAGAUGACUUGUCGAUUAAUUGAAAAAUAUAAAGUAAUAAUA